CUCAGUAACACGUGGCCAAACUACCCUGUCGAUCGGGACACCCUCGGGAAACUGAGGCUAAUCCCGGAUACGGCUCGCUGCCUGGAGGUGGCGCGAGCUCGAAACGUUCAGGCGCGACAGGAUGUGGCUGCGGCCGAUUAGGUAGACGGUGGGGUAACGGCCCACCGUGCCGAUAAUCGGUACGGGUUGUGAAAGCAAGAGCCCGGAGACGGAAUCUGAGACAAGAUUCCGGGCCCUACGGGGCGCAGCAGGCGCGAAACCUUUACACUGCACGCGAGUGCGAUAGGGGGACUCCAAGUGCGAGGGCAUACAGUCCUCGCUUUUCACCACCGUAAGGAGGUGGUAGAAUAAGUGCUGGGCAAGACCGGUGCCAGCCGCCGCGGUAAUACCGGCAGCACGAGUGAUGACCGCUAUUAUUGGGCCUAAAGCGUCCGUAGCCGGCCAGGCAAGUCCAUCGGGAAAUCCGCACGCCUAACGUGCGGGCGUCCGGUGGAAACUGCUUGGCUUGGGACCGGAAGAUCCAGAGGGUACGUCUGGGGUAGGAGUGAAAUCCUGUAAUCCUGGACGGACCACCGGUGGCGAAAGCGCUCUGGAAAGACGGAUCCGACGGUGAGGGACGAAAGCUUGGGUCACGAACCGGAUUAGAUACCCGGGUAGUCCAAGCUGUAAACGAUGUCUGCUAGGUGUGGCACAGGC
This 696-nucleotide ribosomal RNA is filed under the name halophilic archaeon. RNAcentral's name for it is "bacterial SSU rRNA". It matches the Rfam family "Archaeal small subunit ribosomal RNA", at positions 89 to 783 of the family's 1478-position model. Lineage: Archaea; Methanobacteriati; Methanobacteriota; Halobacteria; Halobacteriales. The record is from RNAcentral.